Molecule: ribosomal RNA, 468 nt
Filed under: uncultured bacterium
Lineage: Bacteria
Description: partial 16S ribosomal RNA
Rfam family: Bacterial small subunit ribosomal RNA
Source: RNAcentral
GACGAACGCUGGCGGCGUGCUUAACACAUGCAAGUCGAACGGAAAGGCCCUGCUUUUGUGGGGUGCUCGAGUGGCGAACGGGUGAGUAACACGUGAGUAACCUGCCCUUGACUUUGGGAUAACUUCAGGAAACUGGGGCUAAUACCGGAUAGGAGCUCCUGCUGCAUGGUGGGGGUUGGAAAGUUUCGGCGGUUGGGGAUGGACUCGCGGCUUAUCAGCUUGUUGGUGGGGUAGUGGCUUACCAAGGCUUUGACGGGUAGCCGGCCUGAGAGGGUGACCGGCCACAUCGGGACUGAGAUACGGCGCAGACGCCUACGGGAGGCAGCAGUGGGGAAUAUUGCACAAUGGGCGGAAGCCUGAUGCAGCAACGCCGCGUGCGGGAUGACGGCCUUCGGGUUGUAAACCGCUUUCGCCUGUGACGAAGCGUGAGUGACGGUAAUGGGUAAAGAAGCACCGGCUAACUACGUG